GAUGAACGCUGGCGGCGUGCCUAAUACAUGCAAGUCGAGCGAACGGACGAGAAGCUUGCUUUUCUGAUGUUAUCGGCGGACGGGUGAGUAACACGUGGAUAACCUACCUAUAAGACUGGGAUAACUUCGGGAAACCGGAUCUAAUACCGGAUAAUAUUUUGAACCGCAUGGUUCAAAAGUGAAAGACGGUCUUGCUGUCACUUAUAGAUGGAUCCGCGCUGCAUUAGCUAGUUGGUAAGGUAACGGCUUACCAAGGCAACGAUUCAUAGCCGACCUGAGAGGGUGAUGGGCCAAACUGGAACUGAGACACGGCCCAGACUCCUACGGGAGGCAGAAGUAGGGAAUCUUCCGCAAUGGGCGAAAGCCUGACGGGGAACCGCCGCGUGAGUGAUGAAGGUCUUCGGAUCGUAAAACUCUGUUAUUAGGGAAGAACAUAUGUGUAAGUAACUGUGCACAUCUUGACGGUACCUAAUCAGAAAGCCACGGCUAACUACGUG
This 497-nucleotide ribosomal RNA is filed under the name uncultured bacterium. RNAcentral describes it as "partial 16S ribosomal RNA". It matches the Rfam family "Bacterial small subunit ribosomal RNA", at positions 28 to 507 of the family's 1533-position model. The record is from RNAcentral.